UCGUAUAACAGAGGUGCCGGGGCUGUCGCUAUCUUUGUGCACGCCCUGGUGCUCUCUCGCAAUCCAUCUCACCCCUUUUGUGCAUCACCGCGUGGGUGCUCUCCUUUGUGAAAAGGGAGCAUUUGCGCUUUUACACAGACCCACCGCAUGUCUAGAAUGUUGCGAUAAUAUGCAAUCAAUA
Molecule: unclassified non-coding RNA, 181 nt
Filed under: uncultured Russula
Lineage: Eukaryota; Fungi; Basidiomycota; Agaricomycetes; Russulales; Russulaceae
Description: sequence contains ITS1
Source: RNAcentral